This 485-nucleotide ribosomal RNA is filed under the name uncultured bacterium. Its description in RNAcentral is "partial 16S ribosomal RNA". It matches the Rfam family "Bacterial small subunit ribosomal RNA", at positions 28 to 523 of the family's 1533-position model. The record is from RNAcentral.
GACGAACGCUGGCGGCGUGCUUAACACAUGCAAGUCGAACGAUGAAGCCCAGCUUGCUGGGUGGAUUAGUGGCGAACGGGUGAGUAACACGUGAGUAACCUGCCCUGGACUCUGGGAUAACCCCGAGAAAUCGGAGCUAAUACCGGAUAGGACCUUCCCUAGCAUGGGGGUUGGUGGAAAGUUUUUCGGUCUGGGAUGGACUCGCGGCCUAUCAGCUUGUUGGUGAGGUAAUGGCUCACCAAGGCGUCGACGGGUAGCCGGCCUGAGAGGGUGACCGGCCACACUGGGACUGAGACACGGCCCAGACUCCUACGGGAGGCAGCAGUGGGGAAUAUUGCACAAUGGGCGCAAGCCUGAUGCAGCAACGCCGCGUGCGGGAUGACGGCCCUCGGGUUGUAAACCGCUUUUGUCAGGGAAGAAGCCUUUCGGGGUGACGGUACCUGGAGAAAAAGGACCGGCUAACUACGUGCCAGCCGCCGCGGUAA